This 1403-nucleotide long non-coding RNA is filed under the name Sus scrofa (pig). Its description in RNAcentral is "lncRNA (ENSSSCG00015034612.1)". Lineage: Eukaryota; Metazoa; Chordata; Mammalia; Artiodactyla; Suidae. The record is from RNAcentral.
UUCUGGGGCAACGGAAGCCAAAAGAUGGGUCCUGGUGCGGCGGAGACGGAAGUCUGGGAACAGCCUCCUGCUUCGCAAGCCUCAGAGUGGAGAGGGGGCAGAGGGCGGCAGCCCCUGGGCCCUGGAGUCCGGGUCCAAAUCUGAUAUCUCAGUGCCCAAUCCUGAGUGCCUCCCUGCCUCCGCCUCCCCCCCCCCUUUUUGCAGCCCCUCACUCUCUAGUCCCAGGAAGAAGACAGAGGCUGGGAGCUUGGGGUGGGGGCGUACCCUCCUCCAGCCCUGGCAGGAGGAGGGGUCCCCAGGGAGGCCAAGAGGGGGGGCUGUGGGUCUCCUGGCAGGGGCGGACGGGGACUGAAUGUUAAUCGCAACCCGAGUGAGUGUGUGUGUGCGAGAACAGAGCGAGUGUGCGAGUCCCUCCCGCUCCGGUUCCUCCAAGCGGUGGCCGCCGCCACCCUCUGCCUGCAGCCUCCCUCGGCCACCGGUGCCCAGCUGGGGGGUGUUGGCCUGGGUGGGUCCGCCCGGCCCCCAGGGGUCUCUCGUGCGUCUGCCAUCUGCCCGGUGAGGAUCUGUGUGUCCGGGUGUCUGGGGUUGGGCUGGUGGAGGGGGGGGGUGUGUCUGUAAGGGCUGCGGCGGCGGCGGCGGCGGCGGUGGAGGGAGGGAGAGAAGGAGGGGUCUGUCUGUCUGUCUCAACCCUGAGGGCCCCCCCGCCCCCGCCGCCUACCUGCGUGUCUUGGACCCCUCAGUUUCCUUCCCCACCAGCCCCCCAAACCCGGAUGGAUGGUGUGUACCUGGGCUCUGUGCCUCCUGCCUGCGUCCGGCCAGGCGUCUGGCGUCCCCCGCUGCCUAUGUCCUCCUGUCUGUCCGAACAGCCCCUGACGGCAGUGGUAGCCCAGCCUCAACAGACCCCGCGCGCGCGCGCGCGCGCGCGCGUGUGUGUGUGUGUGUGUCCUUCCUCAAGCUCCGGGGGUGUUGGAGGGGGAAUCCCAGGGAAGCGAGGUGGUGCGUGUGUAUGUAUGUGUGUGUUUCUGCCUGUGUUUGAGAGUAGGGGUGCGGGGGGGGGCGUCUGGAGGUGGCCAAGCGAGGAAAGGGCACCCCAGACAGGCAGUCCCCCGCCCCUCGCACAAACACACACACCAGCCACGGGCUUCAGAGGUGACCCAGACAGACAGACAGACAGACACAGACGCGGGGGGUGGGGGUGGGCUGAGGGCACCAAGGGGGGUGAGAAUGAGCCAGGGAGAGGCGGGACUGGACUCUUGGACCGGGGGGGGGAGCCGGGGCUGAAGCGGCAGAGGGGGGCACCCCGGGUGGGCGGAGGGGGGAUCCCCACGGGGUCGGGGCGGCGAGAGGACACCCCGACAGCCUCCGCAAUGUCCGGGGCCCAACUUCCAGCGCAACAUGUGUAG